Molecule: long non-coding RNA, 5562 nt
Organism: Motacilla alba alba
Lineage: Eukaryota; Metazoa; Chordata; Aves; Passeriformes; Motacillidae
Exons: 2
Source: RefSeq, a predicted model, not a curated record
AGUUUGAGAAAAGUCUACUAUUGACAAAUAAAAAUAAUUUAAAUAGCAAACAAAAGCAAGGCACAGAAGAAUCCUCAAGUAGCAUUUAAUUGCAAAGGACAUUUCAAGGAUUUUUAUAUUUUCCCAAAGAAAUCCUUUGCAAAGUCAUAUUUCAGCAUCAACUUCACAAUCAACUAUUUUAUACUGAAUACAGUACCAAUCAAGUUCAACAUCAGCUCAGCAAUUCACUGUGACUAGACUAAGGAAUGUAAAUGCCAUUAAGUGUCCUUCAAGUCUUAUGUUAAGCUUGAGCACCAAAUGCCUUUGUAGUUCUUCUAGGGUAUUACCAUUAGUAUAGAAGGGUUAAUAGCAAAGGCUGAUGAUUGUUUAAAAAUUCACAUUACCAAAGUGGAUUACAUUGCAUCUACUGAGGGGAUCAACAAUGUAAGCCUACACUAAGCCAUUAUUGCAGAAACAAAGCUUGCAUUUUAAGCCUUUGGAAACAAGCAUAAAAUGGACAAAAGAAAAAAUUCUUCUGAUGUAAGAACAAGGCAAACACUACAUGCUUUUCAUACAGACUCACAUUUUCAGAGCCAUACAGAAUACAUGAAAACGGUCAAAUAGUCUCCCCUAAAAGCUCAUCAUGAACUCCUGACAAGAUCAGCAAACUUGAAGAAAAGGACAAAAUGGAUAACUGACCAACCAAAUACUCAGUAUAAGGAAUGGAGAAAAGGAGAAGGGAGUCACCAAUGGUAUUGCAAUGUCAGAAAGCAGGAUUAAAACCACUCUGCAGUCACAGGUACGUUUUUCCUGAGAAGCAGAACUUUUGCAAAACUGCACACGACCACAACUUAGAGUCCAAAUCAUUAAGUAUGUGAGAGAACCUUGUCCAGGCACACACAGUGUGUCUCUGCCAAGAUACAGGAGUAUCUAUAAAGAAAUCUCCAAUGGCAAUGUCCUAUUUGUCUUGUGAGUAAACGUAAGCCGUCUCUCCUGUUAAAAAAACUUUUGUUUAGCUUUCUCUUAUUUCUCUUAACAAAAGUCUGGCUAUUCAAAUAUCAAAAGAAAGUAUACCAGUAAGAAAGCAAAGGAGAGAGAACCACCCAAUUAUCUGCAGGGAGAGAAAACAAACUGAGCUGCUGGCCUCAGCAUUUCCUACUGUCCUUCUUAAUUCAAUACCUGACAGAUUGCAAGUUCCUAGGAAACAUGGGGACCUGGGCACAUGAGAAGUUAAAUCCAUAAAAUUACAGGAUUUCCAGAAAAAGUCAUAUAGAUGCAAUCUGCAAACCUUAAUCAUUCUCAGCUGGCACUUCAACUUUGUAGGCACCACAUUCCCUGUAAUACAUCAUGCAAAGACACUCCAGCCUUUACUCAUGUCAGAGUCAUCCCAACUUUGAAAAAACUGAGGAUGGUCUCAAUCUUGUACACUACACACUACAAUAUGAACCCUAGAUCUGUUUCAUUUCUGCUACAUAAUUUCUGGUUUAUUUACUCCAUAUCAAUCCAUGAUCACAAAUUCUCCCUCGCCUUCACAUUUCAGGAAAGAAGAAGUCAAAUCACAGAAAUAUACUGUAAAAAUGUUUUAGCAAUAGCCAGCUAAUUAACUAACCACAACACCAUCAUAACUCUCACACAAAAAAUAAAAACAAUCAUUGCUAAAGCAAUGUGGCAGAGAGAUUAUCUUAUCUUUCCAGGUAUUCUGGAGAAUAAAUAUAAAGGUGAGAUCAUAACCCAAAAUAAUUAUUAAGAAGUUAAAACAGAAGAAUUGAUUUCUGGCUAGUACAAAAGAUAUCAGGAUCAGAAUGCAAUUACAACAUAACAAGUAAAGCUCUAAGUUACAACAUGUUUGCUGUAAAAAAAAGUUACUUAAAGCCCACAAGACAGGUACCAUGCACCUCUCUUUCAGCAUCCUAAGAAGCUUAAAACCUCAGGCUCAGACAAGGAAACUAAUAAGAAAGAAGAAAAGGUCAUAAAAGUGCUACAGAGAGAAAAGGAAAAUAAUUAAUUUUUAAGCAAGGAAAAUAAAUUAAUCCAAAACCACUAAGUUAUCUGCUUUUCUGGAAACAGUCCUACAUGUUAGACCAUAAAAAAUCUAAAACAGAUAACCAGUGUUACAAAACAUAUCACAGUUCAAAAGCACUUGGGGAAGAACAUAAUACAUUUGCAUGUCUCUGAAUGAACUAUCCUGAAGGAUGAAAACAGAAUACUCUAGAUAUAAAUUAAUUGAGGAAGUUGUGUUGUUUUGUAUUCUAGGGGGUUUUUUUUCCCCUCAUUACAGAAAUUGCCAGAUCUAGAGUUUACUUAGAACAGCCUGAAAACUAUCAAAAUCUGCAGUGGCACAUGCUGCAUUACUUACAAGUGAGAUUUUAAGAGGUCAGUAAACAUGAAAACCACUGGGUAUUUUUUUUCUCCAAAUAUAUAUAUAAGGAAUAGCAGAAAAGUAUAAAAUUAUUUAGUAUUCUACUUUAGCAGAAUAAUUCUACUAAAUACUAAGCCUUUUUUAUUAGUAAAGCCUUUCUUUUGACUGUUACCCUCUUUUCCACUGUUGAAGUAAUCCAGCAGGUUUUAAUUUCUGCACCACUCAGUGUAAAAUGCAUUCUUCUUUGUUAAUGAUGUUUUCUCUGUCAAAAGCAGGAGCUUGAUGAACAGGCUGAAAAGCCACCUAAUUUCACUGUUGCUGCUGGAACACUUACUUUAGCUUUGUCAAAAGCCAUUCCAUAGUAUUUCAUAGUAAUGUUCAAUGAAAGAAAUGUUCCACCUACUAAACUGAUUAUUACUUUGUGAAGGUAGAAGUUCAUUUAUUCAACAACAGAACUAAAAUAUGACAAACCAGAGCACUUAACACUGUGAUGCUGUAACUUACAUCCAGAUCAAAAAUGAAUAGCCAUUAAGGAAAGAAAUGUCAGUGAAGACUUUUUAAAAGCUCAAGAAAUACAUUUGUAUUCUUCUGUUACAUUAUUAACAAGAGCAAUAAGAAUGAAGUCACAAUAAUAUAAAUAAUUUAGGUUUUUUCUGUAACCUAGUUUGUGUCAGAGCAGGAUGAAACUAAAAAAUAAGAAAAAAAUGGUUUAUAAUCCAAACUAUUUCAAUGCGAAUUAACUGAAUUUCUUAUAGAAAGCAUUUCACAUUAAUUAUAAAUAGAGUUUCAUAUUAAAUAUGGCAACAUAAUUACUAAAAUUACCAAAUUCUUUUUAUAAUUUCAAAAAAAUAUGUUGACAAGACCUUUCUAAAGGCUUAGCUUGUGAAAGCGUCACUGAGUCAGAAUCAGUUUACACAGGUAAAUAAUCCCCUUCCAUAUAUUAUCAACUCAGUCUUUAAAAUAUCCAUUGAAGUGCAUUUUCCAAAAGCUUUGGUAGCCUUUCACUAACUCAAACAACAGAAGAAUGUUUCCUAGUUUUCAAAUUAAACUCAACACUCCAAAUGAAGCUGCUAGAAUGAAGUGAAAAAAAAAAAUUAGUUGCUAAUAACUCUGUAACAUUCUUUUACUGUCCAGUCCUCUCCCCUCUAGUAUAAACAAACCCAACUAUUUCAAGGUUUUGAGGACCUACAUUUCCUAAACUCUGUAGACCUCCUUUAUAGUUCUUUUUUAAGGCUUGUUCUUUUAUAAAGUUUCCAUAAUUCUAUAAUCAUCUACAAAAAAGUUUCCCAAUCUAGACCCAGAUAAGCACCAAACAGAUGAUCCAGCCUUAUUACAGCAGGAGCUUUAGCAGGUCAGAGAGACUAAAUGCCUUUUCUGCAACAGAACUAUAACUUAACAUUAUCCUGUGACCAAAACCACUCACAAGUUGUAUUUUGUCAUGAUACCUUCUGUGUGCUUUCUGCAUCAAUUUCUCCUUCUCAACACUGAUCUUCACUGUAUUUUAUGAGUGGCUUUCAGAUCAUCUGUAUAAUACACUACACACAUCAUCAACCCCAAUGCCAGCCAAGGUGUCUGCAGCAUCCACUCCCUGACCACGUACCCCAACCCUGUAUUUUACAAAGGUAGGCUAACUCCAACACCUGGGUAGUGAGAGCAUAAGAAGGCCUAAGACUGCACUUGUGACACCUUCUCAGCCUAACACUGAAUGGCUGUUAAAUGUUCCCAAGAGAGCAGUUUCAGCUAGAAAGAUUGGUAAAGAUUUAUCUAAUCCUAAUUCCUUAUAUCAUUUAUGAGAACACAGAAGAAAACAGAAUAAUAACAGAAGAUACACAGGUCAUUGUCCUAGGGUGACAUUAUGAGGCUCAUAUCCCCAUUCGUGUGUUCUGCUUAUGCUGGAUAUUAUGUUCUGUGCCUUCAAGACUGGCUCUGAAGAGCAAAUGGUUUGGUUUGGUUUUGUUAUCAGCCUGCUCCCCCACAGCUGGCAGGACACAGAGACAGGCAGUACAUAGUGCAGCUUUUGCUUUCUGCUUUGCUCUUGCUUUUGCUUCUGCUUGUUAGUUAGUUCAGCUAAGCAGUUUGACUUUUCCCUUUUUUUUUUUUUUUUUUUUCUUUUCUUUUCCUUUCUUGGAAUCAUUUGAACCUGCUCUGGACUGGGACUGGAGAAACCCCAACAGUUUGCACCUGGUGGUCUGCAGCAGCCAUCCCCAGUGCCAGAGGGACCGAUAACAGAGCAACCACUCCCAAGAGAGACUUUCUGAAUUUGUCAUCUUUUUCAGAGCAGGGAAAGAGUAUUGUCAUCCGGUAUUGUUCAUUUUUUGUGCUGGGGGGUGUUUUGCCUGUUAAAUAAACAGGUUCUUUCCACUUCUCUCCAAGGAAUCCUUCCCAAACCGGUUGUGGGGAGGGGUCCCCUUUGGAGGUUUUCUCCGAAAUUUGCCCUAAACCAGGACAGUCACAUGCACCAUUCAACAUUUAUCCUGAAGGCAAGACUCCUUGUUCCAUUCCCACAGAAUAUGCACUUAAAAGUAGGGCAUAAACCAAGGACUGUGCACUGAUUUCCUAGAGUGCAACAUGGCCUUGCCCUGUUAAGACAAACAUGUGAAAAACAUUAAGCUGCAUCACCCUGGGGAGAAAAACUUAGUAGAAACACAGGCACUCUGCAGCCUCACCCUCAUCCUGACCACCCCACUGAGCUUCCAGCAGAACUUACAUACACACAUCAGCAGACUCGAGCUACCAAAAUCAUUUAAACUAUUUGAGUUCCAUGAUUUUAAAAAUAUGUCACCACCAUUUAGGCAGAUGGUGACAAAGUCAGCUCGACCAAAGUAAUAUACUGUAGGGGAUAGCUCAUUUGUCUUGGCUUCCAUCUCCUUAAAUGCAUUUAAAGAGUCAGAAGGAGCUUUUAUGACAUGAUCCUUCCAGCCUUGCCCUUUUCAUCUGGAUCUGUGAGAACAGAUUUCUCAAACACACACAGAAGAUACUUUCAGUCAGUUACCUAAUUCAAAGCACAGGCUGGCAGAAGUGGUGGCUCAGGAGACAGGAGCAAGGAAAGCUGAAUUUAGAGAGGGGUACAAAGAAUUUUUUGCUGUCAGGAUACCCCAAGACUUCCAGAAAUGUGGCAGGUAUAUUAGCCCCUGGAGUAGGCAAAAUGAAAGAGGAGGCCAUGAAGACAGAAGAAGAGUUUAAAAAAUUAUCUUUUUUUUUUUUUUACUUUCUGCCCCACCCCC